UCCCAAGGUGUACUCUUUGCCCAACACCUCGAGAUCUUUGAUCAAGUCAUUGAACCUGCAAUACAUUUUGUCAAUAUUCUCAAAAGGUUCAAUUUUAAAUGAUUCAUACUUUGUGACCAAGAUAGCCUUUUUUUGUUCUCUCACGUUGUCACCACCCUCAUGGAUUUCUCUUAACUUAUCCCACAUUUCUUUGGCCGAUUUACAGCCUUUUACUCUAAUUGAUUCAUUUGAAUCUAAGGCACUAUAAAGAACAUUUAUGGCCUUGGCAUUCAAUGUGAGGUUAGUCCUAUCUUGAGCAUUCAUUUCA
This 307-nucleotide long non-coding RNA is filed under the name Coffea arabica (coffee). RNAcentral's name for it is "long non-coding RNA (CARA_LNC007440)". The record is from RNAcentral. Lineage: Eukaryota; Viridiplantae; Streptophyta; Magnoliopsida; Gentianales; Rubiaceae.